Molecule: small nucleolar RNA, 78 nt
Organism: Daktulosphaira vitifoliae (grape phylloxera)
Lineage: Eukaryota; Metazoa; Arthropoda; Insecta; Hemiptera; Phylloxeridae
Product: small nucleolar RNA snoR53Y
Exons: 1
Source: RefSeq, a predicted model, not a curated record
UAGUCCAAUGAUGAAUGAUUGCCAUGCUAAUUUUGAUUUUUUAUUGAUAAAACUCCUUACAUUUUUUCUGAGGACUAC